RNAcentral lists this ribosomal RNA (465 nucleotides) under uncultured bacterium. Its description in RNAcentral is "partial 16S ribosomal RNA". It matches the Rfam family "Bacterial small subunit ribosomal RNA", at positions 338 to 795 of the family's 1533-position model. The record is from RNAcentral.
CCUACGGGUGGCUGCAGUAGGGAAUUUUCGUCAAUGGGCGCAAGCCUGAACGAGCAAUGCCGCGUGAACGAGGAAGGUCUUCGGAUUGUAAAGCUCUGUUGACGGGGAAAAAGAGCGGAGAGAGGAUAUGCUUUCUGAUUGAUAUUACCCUUCGAGGAAGUCACGGCUAACUACGUGCCCGCAGCCGCGGUAAUACGUAGGUGGCGUGCGUUAUCCGGAAUGGUUGGGCGUAAAGGGUGCGUAGGCGGCCUGCUAAGUCUGGAGUGAAAGGUACCGGCUCAACCGGUACAGGCUCUGGAAACUGGCGGGCUAGAGAGGAGGAGAGGGCGGUGGAACUCGAUGGGUAGCGGUAAAAUGCGUAGAUAUAUGGAAGAACAUCAGAGGCGAAGGCGGCCGCCUGGCCUGUUAACUGACGCUGAGGCACGAAAGCGUGGGGAGCAAAUAGGAUUAGAUACCCCUGUAGUC